Molecule: ribosomal RNA, 304 nt
Filed under: uncultured Spathidium
Lineage: Eukaryota; Ciliophora; Litostomatea; Haptorida; Spathidiidae
Description: partial large subunit ribosomal RNA
Rfam family: Eukaryotic large subunit ribosomal RNA
Source: RNAcentral
AUAUUACUAAGCGGAGGAAAAGAAAUUAACAAAGGUUGCCUUAGUAAGGGCGACUGAACCGGCAAGAGCUCGAAAUUGGAAUCGAUGAUUCAAAGAAUCUUCGAAUUGUAAUCAGGUCCGCCUAAAUACGAGAGAGCGUUUAAGCACGUCGAACCGUGCGCCAGAGAGGGUGCAAGCCCCGUGUAAUGCUUUCUCGAGUAAGGGGGAUCCCACAAGAGUCGGGUUGCUUGGAACUGCAGCCCUAAGCGGGAGAUAUGAAUCUUCCAAAGCUAAAUAUGGAUGGGAGACCGAUAGCGCACAAGUA